Molecule: long non-coding RNA, 2197 nt
Organism: Athalia rosae (coleseed sawfly)
Lineage: Eukaryota; Metazoa; Arthropoda; Insecta; Hymenoptera; Athaliidae
Exons: 8
Source: RefSeq, a predicted model, not a curated record
AUUUGAUAAGGAGUAAUGUAUGUGGUUGUUAGUAGAAAAUUAACGAUGACACAAUACGAGCUUAGUCAUCUUGGAGAGAUACUUGAACCUAGGCACAUGAGAAAUACAUCAAAAGCUGUCUUUGUUGUUUCCAAUAUUCUAGAUUUUGCUGCUACAUACGUUUAAAAGUCGGGAUGACUAAUUAUUUUUCUACUGCAGAAUAAAAGCAUCACAAUGUACGGGUAGUUUGAUUGUUCUGUGCACCAGAUCAUAAAGAAUUAGAUAAACCACAUCGUGUGGGAAGAUGAUGAAAAAAACCCAACAAACGAAUAAAAAUUCUGCAAUCAAUCUCUCAAUACUCACAAUCAUCAACAGAGGACAAAGUGAUGCGUGCUGCAUACAAGAAACGUUUAGCGAUGAAAACUCUAAAUACAAAAGGUGGUCAGGUAAGGUAAAACCGGCUAAAACGGAUGAAGAAUGGAGGCAAUAGACGUUCACCUCAAGAACACUCUCACAGAUAUUGCGUAAUCUUGAGGUAAAUUCCCGCUUGUGAUACUCGCCAACGAUGCGAUACGACCGACGACGAGCACAGCAAAUCUACAGCCUAAUACAUGUGACCAGAGUAUAGCUAUGCAAACAUCAUGUAGAUAUGAAUAUGUAUAAGACGAGACAUCAUGAACAUCUAGUAAAAAUACAAUUAUUCUCUGAUAAUUCAAAUUGUCAUUGCUUGAAUCAUGAGCUUACUUUUUUGCAGCUUUAUCCUUUACAAAUUUGAUUAUGACAAAUCUUUUCAACAUAACAACAAGCAUCAUUUGCUCUUUUCCUCUGAAACGAAUACGCACAAUGAUUUUCACACCACGUGUGGUAAAAUGUCUGAUAGAAAUCCAAACGAAAUGAGGCGGUAGCGCGGUGACCUAAAAUCUAUGGAAAAUAUUAAAGAAUAAAGGAUGAAAGUUGGGUACGAUAUCUUCAUUGUUAAAAGAAAAAAUUGCCAUCAACUGAAAUUACACUAGCAUUUAUAAUGCGUCGAUGAUAAAAAUCAGGUUGAAAAACCAGUUUCGCAUGUUAUUAUGGAAAAAUCCGGCGCUUUAGGUGGAACGUAAGCGUUAUGUAUUCUUCGACCUUUUCAAGGAUGCAAAUAAAUAUCUAUUCACUGUUGGAGUUUUAUCGCUGCUUACAAAAUGAAUUAUUCGGCCGCGUUUGUAUAGUUCCGGAUUAUGAAAAGCCUAUACUUGAUGCUGCUGUUCAAGACGGAUCACUGAUCACUGAUCACCGAUUUGAAAAUCAAGAGUCGCGAGGACGGAACAUCGCACCGUAACCACGUGCUGACUCCCACGAACAAAACAUAUCACCGAUGACCCGGAGUACUCAAGCAAGCCUCAAACCGUGGUCUUUGAAUGGGGCAAACCAGCGGGCAUGGAAAGGUUAAUCCAAAUCAUUGAAGGAUCCCUAGAUCCAGAGAAAAAGAAUUGUAAAGGAUAUUGUACAUGAGAAACAUAGAAACUGUUUGAACCCUUUCAAGGAUACCACAAAACUAUGAACAUAACGACGUUAAGUUUUAAUGGAAAAUUUUAAAUAGGACUUGCCGUUGUUACCCACAACAUGGACACUUGAAAAAUGCACAAGUAAUUAUCCAUUGCAUAAUAUUACUACGAGAAACGAAUGCAACGAAUAUCAAAGGUCUUUGAAUUUCCAAUGGCAAUAUGUGAUCCGGCUAUUUGUUUACAAACAGUAAUAUAAGAACAUUGUUAUAUCACAAUGUCGCUGCUAGCUAGGCGAUAUGAGAUACCUGGAUUGAUGAAUCCAACGAAAUAGUGAGUCAACGAUGUUCAUCACUUCUAAGAGGAAAUAUUUUCUUUGUGUACAAGAACUAUAACUCAAUAUGUCGCUACCUUUUGCGCUAGAAGUAUUAAAAGAAUAAAUAAAUAACUAAGAACUAUUGAGACUUGCAAACAACUCGUUGAAGACAUUGAAACAAGGGCUGUUGAAGGUUAUUUUGUGAUUCUCAGUCCGAAUAUCACGUACUUCCUAUCCUAAGAAGACAGAAGUUUUUCAGCAUGGUUGAACUUUGAAGAGUAAUAGACCGAUAUCGUCGUGAAUUGAUUCCAAGUAAGACGAGAUGGUAACCCUAUGGAUGACAUCAAUGAUUCAAAAAGGAGACACCGUCACGCGCGAUGUUUUGCCAAGCAUGUAAGAUCGUUAUACUAUAACUUCCUAG